RNA transcript from Otolemur garnettii (small-eared galago), 376 nucleotides. It is a transcript of the gene named neuropilin-2 pseudogene, with no coding region annotated. The record is from RefSeq and is a predicted model, not a curated record. NCBI's taxonomy places the organism in Eukaryota, Metazoa, Chordata, Mammalia, Primates, Galagidae. The transcript has a single exon.
UGCCCCCUGCUCCAACAUGCUGGGGAUGCUCUCAGGCCUCAUCUCAGACACCCAGAUCUCCGCCUCCUCCACCCGCGAGUACCUGUGGAGCCCCAGCACUGCCCGCCUGGUCAGCAGCCGCUCUGGCUGGUUCCCCCGCAUCCCUCAGGCCCAGCCAGGCGAGGAGUGGCUUCAGGUAGACCUAGGAACACCCAAGAACGUGAAGGGUGUCAUCAUCCAGGGAGCUCGCGGAGGAGACAGCAUCACCGCAGUAGAAGCCAGGGCAUUUGUGCGCAAAUUCAAAGUCUCCUACAGCCUAAAUGGCAAGGACUGGGAAUACAUCCUGGACCCCAGGACGCAGCAGCCAAAGGUAGGCUGUUCCUGGAGGUCUCUGUAA